UUGGAGGGCAAGUCUGGUGCCAGCAGCCGCGGUAAUUCCAGCUCCAAUAGCGUAUAUUAAAGUUGUUGCAGCUAAAAAGCUCGUAGUUGAAUUUCGGAGUUUGUCGGUUGGUCGGGCUUCACUGUCCGCACUGACCUGAUGGACUCCUACCUUCUGAAUAACCAGCAUGCCAUUAAUUUAGUGCGUUGGGGAAGCAGAGCUAUUACCUUGAAAAAAUUAGAGUGCUUAAAGCAGGCUUGUGCUUGAAUAGAUUAGCAUGGAAUAAUAAGAUAGGACGGCAUGGUUCUAUUUUGUUGGUUUCUAGGAUCACCGUAAUGAUUAAUAGGGAUAGUUGGGGGCAUUAGUAUUCAAUUGUCAGAGGUGAAAUUCUUGGAUUUAUUGAAGACUAACUUCUGCGAAAGCAUUUGCCAAGGAUGUUUUCAUUAAUCAAGAACGAAAGUUAGGGGAUCGAAGACGAUCAGAUACCGUCGUAGUCUUAACCAUAAACUAUGCCGACUAGGGAUCGGAUGAUGUUAAUUUUUUAAUGACUCGUUCGGCGCCUUACGGGAAAC
Molecule: ribosomal RNA, 551 nt
Filed under: uncultured Glomeromycotina
Lineage: Eukaryota; Fungi; Glomeromycota
Description: SSU rRNA
Rfam family: Eukaryotic small subunit ribosomal RNA
Source: RNAcentral